Molecule: ribosomal RNA, 301 nt
Filed under: uncultured bacterium
Lineage: Bacteria
Description: partial 16S ribosomal RNA
Rfam family: Bacterial small subunit ribosomal RNA
Source: RNAcentral
CAGCCGCCGCGGUAAUACGGAGGGGGCUAGCGUUGUUCGGAAUUACUGGGCGUAAAGCGCACGUAGGCGGCUUGGUAAGUUAGAGGUGAAAGCCCGGAGCUCAACUCCGGAAUUGCCUUUAAGACUGCCGAGCUAGUAGGUGAGAGAGGUAAGUGGAAUUCCGAGUGUAGAGGUGAAAUUCGUAGAUAUUCGGAAGAACACCAGUGGCGAAGGCGGCUCACUGGCCCGAUACUGACGCUGAGGUGCGAAAGCGUGGGGAGCAAACAGGAUUAGAUACCCGGGUAGUCCCUGUCUCUUAUAC